UCAGUUGAAGCUGCCAGCAUGAUCUAAAUCUUCCUCCCUCGUUGAGGAGAGAUCAGAUCAUGUGGCAGUUUCACCCGUUG
Molecule: microRNA precursor, 80 nt
Filed under: Ricinus communis (castor bean)
Lineage: Eukaryota; Viridiplantae; Streptophyta; Magnoliopsida; Malpighiales; Euphorbiaceae
Description: miR167b stem-loop (rco-MIR167b)
Gene: rco-MIR167b
Source: miRBase by way of RNAcentral